Molecule: RNA transcript, 3096 nt
Organism: Dromiciops gliroides (monito del monte)
Lineage: Eukaryota; Metazoa; Chordata; Mammalia; Microbiotheria; Microbiotheriidae
Gene: NAA60
Gene name: N-alpha-acetyltransferase 60, NatF catalytic subunit
Exons: 7
Source: RefSeq, a predicted model, not a curated record
GCUUUAUCCGCUGCGCCGCCGGGCGCGGGAGGCGGAAGUGUUAAUUGCUCGCCGGCUUCGUCGACCGGAGCUCCUGCCGGUUACAUAACUGCGACCGCACUGGCUGUGGCUGCUUUCUCUGCGACGCUACGUCGCCCCCAGGAUGCUCUAGAAGCUCCCCCUUCCCGGCCGCCGGCUCCCCAACAAGGUGUGAAUGACAGAGGAAGUGCCCUCCAGUGCACUUAGUGAGGUCAACCUACGUCUUCUUUGCCACGAUGACAUAGACACAGUGAAGCAGCUCUGUGGUGACUGGUUCCCAAUCGAGUACCCUGACUCAUGGUAUCGUGACAUCACUUCAAAUAAGAAAUUUUUUUCCCUUGCUGCAACUUACAGAGGAGCCAUUGUGGGUAUGAUAGUUGCUGAAAUAAAAAGUAGGACAAAGGUGCAUAAAGAGGACGGAGAUAUUCUAGCCUCAAACUUCUCUGUUGAUACACAGGUCGCAUACAUCUUAAGUCUAGGAGUAGUAAAAGAAUUCAGAAAACAUGGAAUAGGUUCCCUUUUACUUGAAAGCCUAAAGGAUCACAUAUCUACCACGGCUCAAGACCACUGCAAAGCCAUCUACCUGCACGUCCUCACCACUAACAAUACAGCAAUAAACUUCUAUGAAAAUAGAGACUUUAAGCAACACCACUAUCUACCCUAUUAUUACUCCAUAAGAGGAGUCCUCAAAGAUGGCUUCACCUAUGUACUCUACAUCAAUGGGGGGCAUCCUCCUUGGACAAUUUUUGACUACAUUCAGCACAUCGGGUCUGCAUUAGCCAACCUGAGCCCGUGUUCAAUUCCACAGCGGAUUUAUCGCCAGGCCCAGAGUCUUCUUUGCAGUCUUUUGCCGUGGUCAAGCAUUUCUGCCAAGAGUGGCAUUGAGUACAGCAGAGCCAUGUGAUUUGGGUAGAAGGCCCUUCCCAGAAGCUACCAAGAGGUGCCUGAGUAUCCAGUUACUUUCACCUGAGAGCCUCGCCUCUGCACCAUAGUCAGCCAGCCCUGGGGAUGGGCUCAAAAGGUGGAGGUGCCACCUGCUGGGCUGCCAACCCAGGCUGCUGUUCAGUGAGCCUUGGGGAGCCUAGGAUCAGCAGACCAGGGAUGAUGGUGAAGAGACACACGGAGAGCACCCUGUAUGUACCCUUCUGCUCCUGAAGCUAUUUACUUCUCCACGGAUGCUGCUAACCCUGGCUUCCACGAAGGCUCCAGAUCUCCUCUGGCGAGUCUGCUCUCUGUGGACUAGAUGGGGAUUUGGCCUGAUUUACUGUAGUGUCCCUUUUUCCCCUCGCCUGGGAAUGGGAGGGAUGUGAGUGGACUUUCUCCUUUCCUACCCACUGUCUUUGCUGGGAGCCACAGGACCUCACAGCAGAAGAGAGGAGCACCUUUCCCGCCUGCUGAACCCCUCCACCCAGCCCUCACUCCACCCCCACUCCCCUGCUGGCUGGCAUGACCUAAACCCCUUUGUUCUGAGUAAACUAGCUUGGCCUUGAGGAGAAUAUGGCUUCAGAACAAUAUAGUGAGGGAUUAAAGGAAGGCCAAAGGCCCUCCCAGAACAUGAAAUAACCAAGGCCAGCUGGUAGCUCAGGCUUAGCCCAGGAGGCUAGGUCAGAAGCUACUCUUGCCUCAUCCUUUCAGGACUGUCAAGAUAUCCAGGCACAGAACCUUCGGCAUUGUUCCGCAGGCCAAACCGUCAGGUCAGAUGGCCCAACUUCUCCAGCAAAGUGGACUCCUGAUGACCUUGGUGUAGGGUGGCUUGGUAGCAAGGGCUUAUUCCCUGGUUCCCACCUUGAAGACAUACUCUCUGAUUCCCUUCUGCCUUGGACUUUGCUCAGCACUGAAGAGAGGGAUCACAAUUCCUAUUUCAUAAUGAAAUACAUUGUCCGUCUCAGUUGAACUGGACCUAAGGGUGGGAAGGUUGAGAGCUCUGCAGUACUCCUGAGAUCAGGCCCAGGAUUUCCCCCGUCUAGAUUAUCCCCAUACCUGAGCUUCCUUAGCCAUCACUGCAGCCAGAGCCACCAUGAAUUCCCUUUGUACAGGAAGUUAGGAACAUGGGUCCCAACUUCUGGCUCCUCCAGCGUGGUCCCUGUAAGUGGCCCUGGUCCUAUGGGGACAGAGCCAUGUGCCUUGUAGCUUUCAGCCCCAAUGGAGAAGGUUUUUUCUUCCUCUGGAUUCACUGAGGGGAGGAGACCAUGGCAGUAGCUCAGCUGUUUCAGUUCUGUGAAAUGUGCUUGCAGCAUGAGAUCUGUCCUUACCAUCACAUUCAGUUAUCUCCUGCCCCACAAUCGCCCCUGUCUUUUCUGAGGUACAAUGUAAUUCCAACCACCAAGAGUACCCAGUUCCCAGUGUUAGAAGCAGCCAUUCUUCCAAACCUCUCCACCUGAGUUGGGGGAGGGGGAGAAAAACCUUUUUCCCAGCCCCACACAAAUCAAAUCCUUCCUAAAUCCCUUUUAGACUUUUUUAACCUGUAGGACCUUUCCAGGACACUAAGGCAAGCAGCCACCAUCUCCUUCUAGUCCUAGGAGUGGACCUGCCCAUCCUGGUGGUGGCCUUCUGGUGAGGCACAAUAAGAAACCUCAAAAUUAAGGGGGAGCCCCUUGGGCUGAAUGAGCAUUUACUGUUUUGUGCGUCCUUCAUCAGUUGAUGGGAAGUUUGUCAGUUUGUAUUUCCCCCACCCUCUUGUCCCCCUGGGGGUGGGCAGACAUCUUACAGUACUUGAUUUUAAAAGAAAUUAAGGGCAAUGGUGACACCAUUGGUACAAGUGAGAUUAGUUUCCUACUAAGUAAGUUUUGAUAGCUUGGAUGCUGGCCAGUGCUGAGACCCCCAUGUGGUCUUAUAUUUAAUGAUAAAAUAAAGAUGUUCAUCUGAUUUUGUUUUCUGUGCUGAGGGGUGGGGAGAAGUUUUCCACCUCUGAUGGAUUUGGACAUCCAGUGUUCAAACUAAGGAUACCUUUUCAUGGCCCUUCAGCACUCCCUUUAUCCCAUAAUCACUGUAGUGUCCAACUUGGUGUUGAAUGGAUUGUAGUGUUUUGUCUUAUUAGAAAAAAAAAAGCAGAAUAAAACCUUAAUCAAAUCCAGUCUA